UAAGUAUAGGCGAAGCACGGGCCUGUUUGCAAGGGAUGCAGUGAUUUUGCAUUAUGCCACUGCUUAUAUAUUGUAUUACAUUUGAACAUUUGGAAGUGAAUUUACAAGUGUACACAAUUGCUAAGUACUGCAUUUAUAAAUGUGAGGCAUAUAUAGCACAGUUUCAUACUAUUUUAUUAAACGAUAUUGUUCAUUGUAAUGAAACAGUUUCAUUAAAUAUAUCUACUAUAAAAGCACCCUAUUAUGUUUCAAUAUAACACUGAAUAUAUAAUAAAUAUAAAAUUAGGAGUAAUAACUCAUAGUUUUUAUUUAAAACUUGAAAAAUUUCACAGCAUAAACCAAUGCAAUUAAUAUACUGAAAUCUGAUAUGAAAACAACUGAAUUGGUAUUUAA
This 393-nucleotide long non-coding RNA is filed under the name Androctonus crassicauda. The record is from RNAcentral. Lineage: Eukaryota; Metazoa; Arthropoda; Arachnida; Scorpiones; Buthidae.